RNAcentral lists this ribosomal RNA (228 nucleotides) under uncultured bacterium. RNAcentral describes it as "partial 16S ribosomal RNA". It matches the Rfam family "Bacterial small subunit ribosomal RNA", at positions 122 to 334 of the family's 1533-position model. The record is from RNAcentral.
CAACCUGCCCUUCAGAGGGGGAUAACAACGGGAAACCGUUGCUAAUACCGCGUACGAUUCAUAGGCGGCAUCGCUUGUGAAUGAAAGGUGGCCUCUAUGUAUAAGCUAUCGCUGAAGGAGGGGAUUGCGUCUGAUUAGCUAGUUGGAGGGGUAACGGCCCACCAAGGCAAUGAUCAGUAGCCGGUCUGAGAGGAUGAACGGCCACAUUGGGACUGAGACACGGCCCAA